RNAcentral lists this ribosomal RNA (516 nucleotides) under Staphylococcus aureus. RNAcentral describes it as "bacterial SSU rRNA". It matches the Rfam family "Bacterial small subunit ribosomal RNA", at positions 202 to 707 of the family's 1533-position model. The record is from RNAcentral. Lineage: Bacteria; Bacillati; Bacillota; Bacilli; Caryophanales; Staphylococcaceae.
AAAGACGGUCUUGCUGUCACUUAUAGAUGGAUCCGCGCUGCAUUAGCUAGUUGGUAAGGUAACGGCUUACCAAGGCAACGAUGCAUAGCCGACCUGAGAGGGUGAUCGGCCACACUGGAACUGAGACACGGUCCAGACUCCUACGGGAGGCAGCAGUAGGGAAUCUUCCGCAAUGGGCGAAAGCCUGACGGAGCAACGCCGCGUGAGUGAUGAAGGUCUUCGGAUCGUAAAACUCUGUUAUUAGGGAAGAACAUAUGUGUAAGUAACUGUGCACAUCUUGACGGUACCUAAUCAGAAAGCCACGGCUAACUACGUGCCAGCAGCCGCGGUAAUACGUAGGUGGCAAGCGUUAUCCGGAAUUAUUGGGCGUAAAGCGCGCGUAGGCGGUUUUUUAAGUCUGAUGUGAAAGCCCACGGCUCAACCGUGGAGGGUCAUUGGAAACUGGAAAACUUGAGUGCAGAAGAGGAAAGUGGAAUUCCAUGUGUAGCGGUGAAAUGCGCAGAGAUAUGGAGGAAC